RNAcentral lists this ribosomal RNA (253 nucleotides) under uncultured bacterium. Its description in RNAcentral is "partial 16S ribosomal RNA". It matches the Rfam family "Bacterial small subunit ribosomal RNA", at positions 524 to 776 of the family's 1533-position model. The record is from RNAcentral.
UACGUAGGGACCGAGCGUUGUCCGGAUUCAUUGGGCGUAAAGAGCUCGUAGGCGGCCACUCAAGUCGAAUGUGAAACCUCGAGGCUUAACCUCGAGCCUGCAUUCGAUACUGGGUGGCUAGAGUCUGGUAGGGGGAUCUGGAAUUCCUGGUGUAGCGGUGAAAUGCGCAGAUAUCAGGAGGAACACCGAUGGCGAAGGCAGCUCGCUGGGACGGUACUGACGCUGAGGCGCGAAAGCGUGGGGAGCAAACAGG